This is an unclassified non-coding RNA of Chelonoidis abingdonii (Abingdon island giant tortoise), 184 nucleotides long. NCBI's taxonomy places the organism in Eukaryota, Metazoa, Chordata, Testudines, Testudinidae. The record is from Ensembl.
GUGACAGCCCUGAAACCUGAAGUCCUCUAGUUAUCCUCACAGGAGGUACAGCGCACAUAGAGGAGCAUUGCAAGCUUCCCCUGUAUUGCCUCAUUAAUGUACCUGAAGAAUGAGUUCUGGAGGAAUCAUUUCGGAAGGGGACACACUAGGUCAGUUUCCAUGGCUCAUUUGGUUCUUGGCCUCU